UACGAAGGGGGCUAGCGUUGUUCGGAAUUACUGGGCGUAAAGCGCGCGUAGGCGGUGAUCUUUGUCAGAGGUGAAAUCCCGGGGCUCAACUCCGGAAUUGCCUUUGAAACGGGAUCGCUUGAGUCCGAGAGAGGAUGGCGGAAUUCCUAGUGUAGAGGUGAAAUUCGUAGAUAUUAGGAAGAACACCGGUGGCGAAGGCGGCCAUCUGGCUCGGUACUGACGCUCAGGCGCGAAAGCGUGGGGAGCAAACAGG
Molecule: ribosomal RNA, 253 nt
Filed under: uncultured bacterium
Lineage: Bacteria
Description: partial 16S ribosomal RNA
Rfam family: Bacterial small subunit ribosomal RNA
Source: RNAcentral